RNAcentral lists this ribosomal RNA (359 nucleotides) under uncultured Glomus. RNAcentral's name for it is "SSU rRNA". It matches the Rfam family "Eukaryotic small subunit ribosomal RNA", at positions 569 to 934 of the family's 1831-position model. Lineage: Eukaryota; Fungi; Glomeromycota; Glomeromycetes; Glomerales; Glomeraceae. The record is from RNAcentral.
AGCAGCCGCGGUAAUUCCAGCUCCAAUAACGUAUAUUAAAGUUGUUGCAGUUAAAAAGCUCGUAGUUGAAUUUCGGGGUCAGUAGGUUGGUCGUGCCACUGGUAUGUACUGGCCUUACUGAUUCCUCCCUCUUGACGAACUGUAAUGCCAUUAAUUUGGUGUUGCAGGGAAUCAGGACUGUUACUUUGAAAAAUUAGAGUGUUUAAAGCAGGCUAACGCUUGAAUACAUUAGCAUGGAAUAAUGAAAUAGGACGUUGACCCUAUUUUGUUGGUUUCUAGGAUUGACGUAAUGAUUAAUAGGGAUAGUUGGGGGCAUUAGUAUUCAAUUGUCAGAGGUGAAGUUCUUGGAUUUAUUGAAG